This 24-nucleotide non-coding RNA is filed under the name Arabidopsis thaliana (thale cress). The record is from RNAcentral. Lineage: Eukaryota; Viridiplantae; Streptophyta; Magnoliopsida; Brassicales; Brassicaceae.
GAAUUUGAACCAAAUGGCCAGAAG